This 46-nucleotide small RNA is filed under the name Rhodopirellula maiorica SM1. RNAcentral describes it as "Acido-Lenti-1 RNA". It matches the Rfam family "Acido-Lenti-1 RNA". Lineage: Bacteria; Pseudomonadati; Planctomycetota; Planctomycetia; Pirellulales; Pirellulaceae. The record is from Rfam by way of RNAcentral.
CCACGGACUUGCGUCCGUGGCUGCAUCAUGCCAUUGCUUCGCAAUU